CACAAAUGUCCACAAUGGUUUUUUCUGAAAUAAUAGAAUAAAAUGAGUGAUUAGCAUUGUGGGAAACACAAUUUUCUUUCUUUUCUUGUAGUUUGUUUUUUAAUUAUUCUUUUGUCUGAUCUGUAGUGUUGAGCCAUAAGCCUUAAUUCCCUUCAGAACACGUUUUCCAACAGGCACACGAGGACAAGACAGUUGAUUUCAUAUGAUAUGUGUCAUAAUGUUCUCAUUGAAGCUUUCACGCACACAAUACCGGAAUCAACACACGGUUCACAAGAACAAAAUAAAUAGCACAGCUUUUGACACAGGUUCAUAACGAUAAAAUCACCAGUUUUGCACGUUUUGUAUCUCAGUGCACACUCUUUGCUAAUACUGCAGUGUUUGAUUUGUUUUUUUCUUUUCUUUUUUUUUGUGAUGUUUGUGGCCUUUU
Thalassophryne amazonica is the source of this 427-nucleotide long non-coding RNA. RefSeq lists it as uncharacterized. The record is from RefSeq and is a predicted model, not a curated record. The transcript has 3 exons. NCBI's taxonomy places the organism in Eukaryota, Metazoa, Chordata, Actinopteri, Batrachoidiformes, Batrachoididae.